Molecule: small nucleolar RNA, 135 nt
Organism: Centruroides sculpturatus (bark scorpion)
Lineage: Eukaryota; Metazoa; Arthropoda; Arachnida; Scorpiones; Buthidae
Source: RefSeq, a predicted model, not a curated record
UAUUGGCUUUUUCGAAGUCAUGGAUAAUUUCAUUAAGAUUUCCGUGAUCAAAAAAAGCCAAAAUAAAUAAAAAUUUCUUUCACGGUCGCUUGUUUCAUUGUGUGUGAUUUGAGCAUUACCCAAGAAACGAACAUU